GUGAGGAAUAUUGGUCAAUGGGCGAGAGCCUGAACCAGCCAAGUCGCGUGAAGGAAGAAGGAUCUAUGGUUCGUAAACUUCUUUUGCAGGGGAAUAAAGUGCGGGACGUGUCCUGUUUUGUAUGUACCCUGAGAAUAAGGAUCGGCUAACUCCGUGCCAGCAGCCGCGGUAAUACGGAGGAUCCGAGCGUUAUCCGGAUUUAUUGGGUUUCAAGGGUGCGUAGGUGGUUUGAUAAGUCAGCGGUGAAAGUUUGCAGCUUAACUGUAAAAAUGCCGUUGAAACUGUCGGACUUGAGUGUAAAUGAGGUAGGCGGAAUGCGUGGUGUAGCGGUGAAAUGCAUAGAUAUCACGCAGAACUCCGAUUGCGAAGGCAGCUUACUAAGCUACAACUGACACUGAAGCACGAAAGCGUGGGGAUCAAACAGGAUUAGAAACCCGGGUAGUCC
Molecule: ribosomal RNA, 445 nt
Filed under: uncultured bacterium
Lineage: Bacteria
Description: partial 16S ribosomal RNA
Rfam family: Bacterial small subunit ribosomal RNA
Source: RNAcentral